This 2354-nucleotide ribosomal RNA is filed under the name Escherichia coli O26:H11. RNAcentral describes it as "bacterial LSU rRNA". It matches the Rfam family "Bacterial large subunit ribosomal RNA", at positions 405 to 2744 of the family's 2925-position model. Lineage: Bacteria; Pseudomonadati; Pseudomonadota; Gammaproteobacteria; Enterobacterales; Enterobacteriaceae. The record is from RNAcentral.
UCGAUGAGUAGGGCGGGACACGUGGUAUCCUGUCUGAAUAUGGGGGGACCAUCCUCCAAGGCUAAAUACUCCUGACUGACCGAUAGUGAACCAGUACCGUGAGGGAAAGGCGAAAAGAACCCCGGCGAGGGGAGUGAAAAAGAACCUGAAACCGUGUACGUACAAGCAGUGGGAGCACGCUUAGGCGUGUGACUGCGUACCUUUUGUAUAAUGGGUCAGCGACUUAUAUUCUGUAGCAAGGUUAACCGAAUAGGGGAGCCGAAGGGAAACCGAGUCUUAACUGGGCGUUAAGUUGCAGGGUAUAGACCCGAAACCCGGUGAUCUAGCCAUGGGCAGGUUGAAGGUUGGGUAACACUAACUGGAGGACCGAACCGACUAAUGUUGAAAAAUUAGCGGAUGACUUGUGGCUGGGGGUGAAAGGCCAAUCAAACCGGGAGAUAGCUGGUUCUCCCCGAAAGCUAUUUAGGUAGCGCCUCGUGAAUUCAUCUCCGGGGGUAGAGCACUGUUUCGGCAAGGGGGUCAUCCCGACUUACCAACCCGAUGCAAACUGCGAAUACCGGAGAAUGUUAUCACGGGAGACACACGGCGGGUGCUAACGUCCGUCGUGAAGAGGGAAACAACCCAGACCGCCAGCUAAGGUCCCAAAGUCAUGGUUAAGUGGGAAACGAUGUGGGAAGGCCCAGACAGCCAGGAUGUUGGCUUAGAAGCAGCCAUCAUUUAAAGAAAGCGUAAUAGCUCACUGGUCGAGUCGGCCUGCGCGGAAGAUGUAACGGGGCUAAACCAUGCACCGAAGCUGCGGCAGCGACGCUGAUGCGUUGUUGGGUAGGGGAGCGUUCUGUAAGCCUGUGAAGGUGUGCUGUGAGGCAUGCUGGAGGUAUCAGAAGUGCGAAUGCUGACAUAAGUAACGAUAAAGCGGGUGAAAAGCCCGCUCGCCGGAAGACCAAGGGUUCCUGUCCAACGUUAAUCGGGGCAGGGUGAGUCGACCCCUAAGGCGAGGCCGAAAGGCGUAGUCGAUGGGAAACAGGUUAAUAUUCCUGUACUUGGUGUUACUGCGAAGGGGGGACGGAGAAGGCUAUGUUGGCCGGGCGACGGUUGUCCCGGUUUAAGCGUGUAGGCUGGUUUUCCAGGCAAAUCCGGAAAAUCAAGGCUGAGGCGUGAUGACGAGGCACUACGGUGCUGAAGCAACAAAUGCCCUGCUUCCAGGAAAAGCCUCUAAGCAUCAGGUAACAUCAAAUCGUACCCCAAACCGACACAGGUGGUCAGGUAGAGAAUACCAAGGCGCUUGAGAGAACUCGGGUGAAGGAACUAGGCAAAAUGGUGCCGUAACUUCGGGAGAAGGCACGCUGAUAUGUAGGUGAAGUCCCUCGCGGAUGGAGCUGAAAUCAGUCGAAGAUACCAGCUGGCUGCAACUGUUUAUUAAAAACACAGCACUGUGCAAACACGAAAGUGGACGUAUACGGUGUGACGCCUGCCCGGUGCCGGAAGGUUAAUUGAUGGGGUUAGCGCAAGCGAAGCUCUUGAUCGAAGCCCCGGUAAACGGCGGCCGUAACUAUAACGGUCCUAAGGUAGCGAAAUUCCUUGUCGGGUAAGUUCCGACCUGCACGAAUGGCGUAAUGAUGGCCAGGCUGUCUCCACCCGAGACUCAGUGAAAUUGAACUCGCUGUGAAGAUGCAGUGUACCCGCGGCAAGACGGAAAGACCCCGUGAACCUUUACUAUAGCUUGACACUGAACAUUGAGCCUUGAUGUGUAGGAUAGGUGGGAGGCUUUGAAGUGUGGACGCCAGUCUGCAUGGAGCCGACCUUGAAAUACCACCCUUUAAUGUUUGAUGUUCUAACGUUGACCCGUAAUCCGGGUUGCGGACAGUGUCUGGUGGGUAGUUUGACUGGGGCGGUCUCCUCCUAAAGAGUAACGGAGGAGCACGAAGGUUGGCUAAUCCUGGUCGGACAUCAGGAGGUUAGUGCAAUGGCAUAAGCCAGCUUGACUGCGAGCGUGACGGCGCGAGCAGGUGCGAAAGCAGGUCAUAGUGAUCCGGUGGUUCUGAAUGGAAGGGCCAUCGCUCAACGGAUAAAAGGUACUCCGGGGAUAACAGGCUGAUACCGCCCAAGAGUUCAUAUCGACGGCGGUGUUUGGCACCUCGAUGUCGGCUCAUCACAUCCUGGGGCUGAAGUAGGUCCCAAGGGUAUGGCUGUUCGCCAUUUAAAGUGGUACGCGAGCUGGGUUUAGAACGUCGUGAGACAGUUCGGUCCCUAUCUGCCGUGGGCGCUGGAGAACUGAGGGGGGCUGCUCCUAGUACGAGAGGACCGGAGUGGACGCAUCACUGGUGUUCGGGUUGUCAUGCCAAUGGCACUGCCCG